Molecule: ribosomal RNA, 254 nt
Filed under: uncultured bacterium
Lineage: Bacteria
Description: partial 16S ribosomal RNA
Rfam family: Bacterial small subunit ribosomal RNA
Source: RNAcentral
UACGGGGGGAGCAAGCGUUGUUCGGAUUUACUGGGCGUAAAGGGCGCGUAGGCGGUCGUGACAAGUCACUUGUGAAAUCUCCGGGCUUAACUCGGAACGGUCAAGUGAUACUGUCGGACUAGAGUACAGAAGGGGCAACUGGAAUUCUCGGUGUAGCGGUGAAAUGCGUAGAUAUCGAGAGGAACACCUGCGGCGAAGGCGGGUCUCUGGGCAUUCCCUGACGCUGAGGCGCGAAAGCGUGGGGAGCAAACGGG